Molecule: ribosomal RNA, 301 nt
Filed under: uncultured bacterium
Lineage: Bacteria
Description: partial 16S ribosomal RNA
Rfam family: Bacterial small subunit ribosomal RNA
Source: RNAcentral
CAGCAGCCGCGGGAAUACGUAGGUCCCGAGCGUUGUCCGGAUUUAUUGGGCGUAAAGCGAGCGCAGGCGGUUAGAUAAGUCUGAAGUUAAAGGCUGUGGCUUAACCAUAGUAUGCUUUGGAAACUGUUUAACUUGAGUGUAGAAGGGGAGAGUGGAAUUCCAUGUGUAGCGGUGAAAUGCGUAGAUAUAUGGAGGAACACCGGUGGCGAAAGCGGCUCUCUGGUCUGUAACUGACGCUGAGGCUCGAAAGCGUGGGGAGCAAACAGGAUUAGAUACCCCCGUAGUCCCUGUCUCUUAUACA